RNAcentral lists this transfer RNA (67 nucleotides) under Masturus lanceolatus (sharptail mola). RNAcentral's name for it is "tRNA-Cys". It matches the Rfam family "tRNA". From Rfam's summary of the family: Transfer RNA (tRNA) molecules are approximately 80 nucleotides in length. Their secondary structure includes four short double-helical elements and three loops (D, anti-codon, and T loops). The record is from RNAcentral. Lineage: Eukaryota; Metazoa; Chordata; Actinopteri; Tetraodontiformes; Molidae.
AGCCCUGGGGUGUUGGACACAUCAGAUUGCAAAUCUGAAGGCGCAGGCUAAUCGCCUGCUGGGGCUU